RNAcentral lists this ribosomal RNA (496 nucleotides) under uncultured bacterium. Its description in RNAcentral is "partial 16S ribosomal RNA". It matches the Rfam family "Bacterial small subunit ribosomal RNA", at positions 29 to 507 of the family's 1533-position model. The record is from RNAcentral.
AUGAACGCUGGCGGCGUGCCUAAUACAUGCAAGUCGAGCGAACGGACGAGAAGCUUGCUUCUCUGAUGUUAGCGGCGGACGGGUGAGUAACACGUGGAUAACCUACCUAUAAGACUGGGAUAACUUCGGGAAACCGGAGCUAAUACCGGAUAAUAUUUUGAACCGCAUGGUUCAAAAGUGAAAGACGGUCUUGCUGUCACUUAUAGAUGGAUCCGCGCUGCAUUAGCUAGUUGGUAAGGUAACGGCUUACCAAGGCAACGAUGCAUAGCCGACCUGAGAGGGUGAUCGGCCACCCUGGAACUGGAGCACGGUCCAGACUCCUAAGGGAAGCAACAGUAGGGAAUCUUCCGCAAUGGGCGAAAGCCUGACGGAGCAACGCCGCGUGAGUGAUGAAGGUCUUCGGAUCGUAAAACUCUGUUAUUAGGGAAGAACAUAUGUGUAAGUAACUGUGCACAUCUUGACGGUACCUAAUCAGAAAGCCACGGCUAACUACGUG